UAAAAAAAUAUCAGUAAAAUAUGCUUUACUAAGGCAAAGCAUUAUAUGCUGAAGCAUAUCUCCAUAAGCUGACAAUUCAGUUUAUUCCAUUUAUUGGCAAAUUGAUGAUAUAGCAUAAUGCUAAAAUUGAGCUAUAAAUGGAUGUAUCUCUUGUAAUGCUAUAAUUAACAUUGAAGCUAGAAAACUAUCCUUAGAAGAGUAUAGUGUGUAAAAUGGCAUCACUCAAAGCUGAGAAACCAACUGAGAAAUCUGGUAGCUCUCAACCAUCAGGGCAAGUCAAGAAAGAGCCUGCUGCCAAAUCUAGUGGGACCACUCCCAAAGCUAGAGCUUCUAAGGUAGCACCAAAGAAAACUGAGCAGAAAUCUCAGCCUAAGAGGAAGGCUAGCAGUAAGCAGAAGAUAACAAGUGAAACUUAAAUAACUUGAAAAAAUAAUUGUUGGAACUUUGUAUUAUAAAUGUGAAGAAUCCAUAAGGUUACUGUUAUGGUUCAUGUUUCAUGAAUUUUAUCAGUAGUACUAUCUGUAUUGUACCACUUGCUUAUGUUGUCACAUUAGUAUUCCAUGCCAGUUUUUGGCCUUUUAAAUAAAAUAUAUUGAUGGUGAGAAAA
Molecule: long non-coding RNA, 607 nt
Organism: Medicago truncatula (barrel medic)
Lineage: Eukaryota; Viridiplantae; Streptophyta; Magnoliopsida; Fabales; Fabaceae
Exons: 2
Source: RefSeq, a predicted model, not a curated record